Molecule: ribosomal RNA, 599 nt
Filed under: uncultured bacterium
Lineage: Bacteria
Description: bacterial SSU rRNA
Rfam family: Bacterial small subunit ribosomal RNA
Source: RNAcentral
CCUACGGGAGGCAGCAGUGGGGAAUAUUGGACAAUGGGCGCAAGCCUGAUCCAGCCAUGCCGCGUGAGUGAUGAAGGCCUUAGGGUUGUAAAGCUCUUUUGUCCGGGACGAUAAUGACGGUACCGGAAGAAUAAGCCCCGGCUAACUUCGUGCCAGCAGCCGCGGUAAUACGAAGGGGGGCUAGCGUUGCUCGGAAUCACUGGGCGUAAAGGGCGCGUAGGCGGCCAUUCAAGUCGGGGGUGAAAGCCUGUGGCUCAACCACAGAAUUGCCUUCGAUACUGUUUGGCUUGAGUUUGGUAGAGGUUGGUGGAACUGCGAGUGUAGAGGUGAAAUUCGUAGAUAUUCGCAAGAACACCAGUGGCGAAGGCGGCCAACUGGACCAACACUGACGCUGAGGCGCGAAAGCGUGGGGAGCAAACAGGAUUAGAUACCCUGGUAGUCCACGCCGUAAACCGAUGAAUGCUAGCUGUUGGGGUUGCUUGCACCUCAGUAGCGCAGCUAACGCUUUAAGCAUUCCGCCUGGGGNGUACGGUCGCGAGAUAAACGUUAAAGUAAGUAGACGNGUGAGACGUGCCGACGGACGACGACGAGGGAGUAGG